CCACACAUGCUGUUGCGAUUAAAUGUCAGUGUUCCAGCAGCAGAUUGUAUCUGCUUUCCACCCUUUGGACCCCAUCCAACAAAUGGUACUGCUUCACUUAUGUCAUAUCCACUUGUCUAGGUAACUGUCAUAUGUUAUAGACAAUUUAUACAGCUAUUUCAAUUACAAAAUUUCAGUAUGAGUGGUAAAAAAGUAAUAUCAUUCAACAAUGUUUAAGAAAUAUGUAAAAAAAUUUAACAUAGGAUAAAUAAAAAAUAAAAAAAAAAAAAAAAAAAAAAAGAAAAAAAUAAAAAAACAAAACAAAUAAAAAAAAAAAAAAAAAAAAAAAAUAAAAACCAAACCAGCUAAUGAUAGCAAAUUUCUCAUAAUUUUAACAUUAUUAUCAAAAUUAGCCAAAAUAAUCAUGACUUUACCAACAUUCAUCCAACUUCAUAGAAAAACCAAACCUUUGAGAAUGACCUCACAACAUCAUAAAUUAUACUAAACAUGAAUACCAGAGAAUCAGGAUAUUAGAAUUUCAGGUCAUUUUACGCCAAUGAUUCACCCAAACACUAUCUUUCACCCAAAUUUUAUAUCAAACACUAUAAUUAUAACCUCAUUCUGAGACAAACACUAUCUUUCACCCAAAUUUUGUAUCAACAAACUAUAUCAAUUUUUAACACCUUAGACACAACAUUCAGAAUCCUUAUCAUGCAGAAUCUAACUCCAACAAUUGGCUUUAAAACAAAAAUUGAAGAAAAAAUAAUUCAUUACAUCAGUUCACUCAUAUUCUGUUUUUGCUCAAGAGAUUCAAACAUUCUUCACAAAUGGAAUGAAAGCCAGAAAACCAUGUAAACUUAGGUAUAAGCUCUUUUACUCAAUCAUUUGAAUCAGGAACCAUAAACAAAAAGCAACAGUUGUAACAGCACUAAAUCAGCAACCAUAUUCAUCCAGAACAGUUAGUAAUAAUCUCACUGGUUUCAAAAAGAAACAACAAAAUCAUGUUCCAAUGACAAAGAAAAAUAACACAAACAGCAACCAAAGUUUUAAAAUUACUUGGUGUUCAAGCAACUGCUAUCCAUAACCAUCUUAAGAGAACAACAAUAAUAUUGAUUUGUUAUUACAUAUAAUUUGUUAUCUCACCUCUGCGCUCAACAUCCAACACCCUUAGUUUAUUUUUAUAAGCAGGUGUCUUCUUCACCAUGGCCAAAACCUUAAUUAACAAAAAAAGUCAUUCUUAUAAAUCUGGAUGUUUUAAUCUUCUGAAAACAUUUCACAAAUAACAAAUAAAGCAAGUUUCGAUUAAGCCGCAUCCAAUAUGUCAUGAGCCCAAUUUUUACAACUGUGGCUGUCACCAUAAUUCCUAGCAAUCAAGGACCAUGACAAAAUUGCAAUAGUGAAAUAUUAUACCAAGAAUCAGGCUAGAUAACUUCCCUAUAGAAUCAGGCAGCCAAUCAGCUUGCCCUGGAGCUUGAGAUCACGAGUUCCUUUCUUUGCAGAAACCUCAAUUAUCUUAGCAAGUUUAAUCAAACUCAACUUAUCACCAUCUUCACCUACAAAACAACAUCUCAUCAGCACAACAUUCCAUCAAAGUCUAAUUCAAUUGCAAUUUAGGCAGCAUCGACC
This 1605-nucleotide long non-coding RNA is filed under the name Medicago truncatula (barrel medic). RNAcentral's name for it is "long non-coding RNA (MTRU_LNC004604)". Lineage: Eukaryota; Viridiplantae; Streptophyta; Magnoliopsida; Fabales; Fabaceae. The record is from RNAcentral.